RNAcentral lists this transfer RNA (71 nucleotides) under Eumicrotremus spinosus (Atlantic spiny lumpsucker). Its description in RNAcentral is "tRNA-Ser". It matches the Rfam family "tRNA". From Rfam's summary of the family: Transfer RNA (tRNA) molecules are approximately 80 nucleotides in length. Lineage: Eukaryota; Metazoa; Chordata; Actinopteri; Perciformes; Cyclopteridae. The record is from RNAcentral.
AAGAAAAUGACAGAGUGGUUAUGUGGUUGACUUGAAAUCAGUUUAUGGGGGUUCGACCCCUCCUUUUCUCG